RNAcentral lists this ribosomal RNA (253 nucleotides) under uncultured bacterium. RNAcentral's name for it is "partial 16S ribosomal RNA". It matches the Rfam family "Bacterial small subunit ribosomal RNA", at positions 524 to 776 of the family's 1533-position model. The record is from RNAcentral.
UACGGAGGGGGCUAGCGUUGUUCGGAAUUACUGGGCGUAAAGCGCACGUAGGCGGCUUUGUAAGUUAGAGGUGAAAGCCCGGAGCUCAACUCCAGAACUGCCUUUAAGACUGCAUCGCUUGAACGUCGGAGAGGUAAGUGGAAUUCCGAGUGUAGAGGUGAAAUUCGUAGAUAUUCGGAAGAACACCAGUGGCGAAGGCGACUUACUGGACGACUGUUGACGCUGAGGUGCGAAAGCGUGGGGAGCAAACAGG